This 68-nucleotide non-coding RNA is filed under the name unclassified sequences. RNAcentral's name for it is "S15-Flavobacteria ribosomal protein leader". It matches the Rfam family "S15-Flavobacteria ribosomal protein leader". The record is from RNAcentral.
UAUUUUUGCAUCCGAAUUAUGAUAAACAUAAUUCAUACAUAAAAAUCAUUUACAAAAAUAUUAGCAUG